RNAcentral lists this ribosomal RNA (432 nucleotides) under uncultured bacterium. Its description in RNAcentral is "bacterial SSU rRNA". It matches the Rfam family "Bacterial small subunit ribosomal RNA", at positions 957 to 1392 of the family's 1533-position model. The record is from RNAcentral.
UUACGCGAAGACCUUACCUAGGCUUGACAUCCCACGAAUGACCUAGAAAUAGGAAAGGCUCUUCGGAGCGUGGAGACAGGUGCUGCAUGGCUGUCGUCAGCUCGUGCCGUGAGGUGUUCGGUUAAGUCCCGCAACGAGCGCAACCCUUGCCUUUAGUUGCCAGCAUUAAGUUGGGCACUCUAGAGGGACUGCCGAGGAUAACUCGGAGGAAGGUGGGGAUGACGUCAAAUCAUCAUGCCCCUUAUGCUUAGGGCUACACACGUGCUACAAUGGGUGGUACAGAGGGUUGCCAAGCCGCGAGGUGGAGCUAAUCCCUUAAAGCCAUUCUCAGUUCGGAUUGUAGGCUGAAACUCGCCUACAUGAAGCUGGAGUUACUAGUAAUCGCAGAUCAGAAUGCUGCGGUGAAUGCGUUCCCGGGUCUUGUACACACCG